GGUGGGAAGGUCUCGAGGAAUCCUCCGAGCCCGCCGCGUGGGUAUGAAGGCCUUCAGGUUGUAAGGCCCUGUCCGUGGGAAGAACCGCUGUCUGGCCGAUUCCCUGGACUGCUGUGCCUGAACCACCAAAGGAAGCCCCGGCAUAAUUCCUGGCCACCACCCGGGGGUAUAAAAA
Molecule: ribosomal RNA, 175 nt
Filed under: uncultured Syntrophobacteraceae bacterium
Lineage: Bacteria; Pseudomonadati; Thermodesulfobacteriota; Syntrophobacteria; Syntrophobacterales; Syntrophobacteraceae
Description: partial 16S ribosomal RNA
Source: RNAcentral